Molecule: long non-coding RNA, 414 nt
Filed under: Elaeis guineensis (African oil palm)
Lineage: Eukaryota; Viridiplantae; Streptophyta; Magnoliopsida; Arecales; Arecaceae
Description: long non-coding RNA (EGUI_LNC016594)
Source: RNAcentral
GGUGUCGUAACUAAAAGACAGAGUUAUUUUCAUCAUAUAAAUUAAAAAAAAAAAAAUGAUCUGCAAGCAUUAAAUAUGCAUUGAAAAAUAAUAAUCAUGUGAACCAAUCAGACAAGAUGGUAUGCUCCACAUUAGAUUUUCUACACCAUCCAUGGUGCACAAAAAAUUUCUGCAACCCCAAAAGCUAUUGGGGUUUAUCACUUCGCCGGCCCACACUUGUGCAGCCGAAAACGAUUGUAAUUUGUGAACAUUCCAUGGCCUUGGAUAAGUCCAACCAAUUGCCAUGCAAUGCUCCUAAAAUUAAUAAGCACACCAAGUUGGACUGCCCUCUUUGGCAUGCACUAAACCUUGUUUCCAUUAGGCUCCCCUUUAAGCCGUCACUCACCAAUAAUUUCAUUUUCUUUAAACGCCAGG